AUGUUAGCAAAAUACGGUUUGCAAAAACAUCCAUUCCUAACACAAAUAUAUGAGGUUAGGCAUAAGUGGGCCAAACCGUACUUCAUGGGUGUGUUCUGUGCAAAUAUGACAAGCACACGAGGAAGUGAAAGUGCAAAUCAUUUGUUGAAGGGGUAUGUACCGUGGGAUGUCCUAUGCAUCUAUUUAUUAAGCAAUUCGAGAAGAUAUUAUUUGAUAGAGACUCAGAGGAAAGCUAUCAAGAAAAACGCACUGCAGGUGUAG
This 261-nucleotide ribosomal RNA is filed under the name Triticum aestivum (bread wheat). RNAcentral's name for it is "partial small subunit ribosomal RNA". Lineage: Eukaryota; Viridiplantae; Streptophyta; Magnoliopsida; Poales; Poaceae. The record is from RNAcentral.